RNAcentral lists this ribosomal RNA (484 nucleotides) under uncultured bacterium. Its description in RNAcentral is "bacterial SSU rRNA". It matches the Rfam family "Bacterial small subunit ribosomal RNA", at positions 30 to 507 of the family's 1533-position model. The record is from RNAcentral.
AUUGAACGCUGGCGGCAUGCCUUACACAUGCAAGUCGAACGGCAGCACGGGAGCAAUCCUGGUGGCGAGUGGCGAACGGGUGAGUAAUAUAUCGGAACGUGCCCAGUCGUGGGGGAUAACGUAGCGAAAGCUACGCUAAUACCGCAUACGAUCUACGGAUGAAAGCGGGGGAUCGCAAGACCUCGCGCGAUUGGAGCGGCCGAUAUCAGAUUAGGUAGUUGGUGGGGUAAAGGCCCACCAAGCCAACGAUCUGUAGCUGGUCUGAGAGGACGACCAGCCACACUGGAACUGAGACACGGCCCAGACUCCUACGGGAGGCAGCAGUGGGGAAUUUUGGACAAUGGGGGCAACCCUGAUCCAGCCAUGCCGCGUGAGUGAAGAAGGCCUUCGGGUUGUAAAGCUCUUUCGGCCGGGAAGAAAUCGUAUGGGUUAAUACCCUGUGCGGAUGACGGUACCGGCAUAAGAAGCACCGGCUAACUACGUG